AUAGCGUAUAUUAAAGUUGUUGCAGUUAAAAAGCUCGUAGUUGAACUUCAGGUCUGGCUGGGCGGUCCGCUUAACAGCGUGUACUGUCUGGCUGGGUCUUACCUCUUGGUGAGCCGGCGUGCCCUUUAUUGGUGUGCGUCGGGGAACCAGGACUUUUACCUUGAGAAAAUUAGAGUGUUCAAAGCAGGCCAUUGCCUGAAUACAUUAGCAUGGAAUAAUAAAAUAGGACGUGCGGUUCUAUUUUGUUGGUUUCUAGAGUCGCCGUAAUGAUUAAUAGGGAUAGUUGGGGGCAUUGGUAUUGAGUCGCUAGAGGUGAAAUUCUUGGAUUGACUCAAGACCAACUAUUG
This 347-nucleotide ribosomal RNA is filed under the name uncultured eukaryote. RNAcentral's name for it is "SSU rRNA". It matches the Rfam family "Eukaryotic small subunit ribosomal RNA", at positions 594 to 945 of the family's 1831-position model. The record is from RNAcentral.